GGAGACAGUGUCCUACGGGUGACUAACCGCUGGUAACUUGCCUUUAAGUUCGCAAUAUCUCAGGGAAACUUGAGCUAAUACCGAAUGAGCUCUUCCGGGCACCCAUUUAUCGCCUUUAGAGCGGCCCGCGUCCGAUUACUUACUUUGGUGAGCGUAUAGGCUCAUCACUGCGACGAUCUGUAGCUGGUCUGAUAGCAUGAUCACCCUCAUUGGAACUGAAACACGACCCAAACUCCUACGGCAGGCACCGGUGCGGACUCUUGCGCCAUGGGCCAACGCCUGACUUCAUCCAUGCCGACGUGAAUGAUUAAUGUCUUAUGAUUGUAAGAUUCUUUCACCUGUUACGAUUAUGACUGUACUCUGAUAAUAAGCCCCGGCUAACUUCUUGCCAACAACCGCGGUAAUACUAACGGUGCUAGCGUUGCUCGAAAUUACUGUGCCUAAAGGGACCGUACGCGGAUAUUUAAGUCAGGUGUGAAAUCCCGGGGCUCAACCUCGGAAUUGCCUUUGAUACUGGGUGUCUUGAGUAUGACAGAGGUGUGUGCUUCUCCCUGUGUAUAGGUGUAAUUCGUAUAUAUUCUGAAGAGCACCAGUGAAGUACGCGUCCACUGUCUCAUUACUGACUCUGAUGCUCGAAAGCGUGUGGAGCAACAGGAUUAGAUACUCUGGUAAUCCUCGCCCUCAACAAUGAUUGCUAUGCUGUCGGGGAUACAUGCCAUUUUCUAUGACGCAUCUCUACGCAAUAAUCAAUCCGCCUGGGGGAGUACCUGGCGCCUGAAUAUCCACUCCUACGAAUUUGACGGUGAACCCCCUCGAGAAGGUGGGUUCCUGUUGGU
RNAcentral lists this ribosomal RNA (836 nucleotides) under Brevundimonas vesicularis. Its description in RNAcentral is "bacterial SSU rRNA". It matches the Rfam family "Bacterial small subunit ribosomal RNA", at positions 88 to 946 of the family's 1533-position model. Lineage: Bacteria; Pseudomonadati; Pseudomonadota; Alphaproteobacteria; Caulobacterales; Caulobacteraceae. The record is from RNAcentral.